UGAUACUGCGAACUAGGGAAUUAUAAAG
This 28-nucleotide small RNA is filed under the name Bombyx mori (domestic silkworm). Its description in RNAcentral is "ovarian small RNA-32414". The record is from RNAcentral. Lineage: Eukaryota; Metazoa; Arthropoda; Insecta; Lepidoptera; Bombycidae.